CCCAGACUCCUACGGGAGGCAGCAGUGGGGGAUAUUGCACAAUGGGGGGAACCCUGAUGCAGCGACGCCGCGUGGGUGGAGGAGCGUUUCGGCGCGUAAAGCCCUAUCGGCAGGGAAGAAGGAGGACGGUACCUGACUAAGAAGCCCCGGCUAACUACGUGCCAGCAGCCGCGGUAAUACGUAGGGGGCAAGCGUUAUCCGGAUUUACUGGGUGUAAAGGGGGCGCAGACGGCAGCGCAAGCCAGGAGUGAAAGCCCGGGGCCCAACCCCGGGACUGCUCUUGGAACUGCGCGGCUGGAGUGCAGGAGGGGCAGGCGGAAUUCCUGGUGUAGCGGUGAAAUGCGUAGAUAUCAGGAGGAACACCGGUGGCGAAGGCGGCCUGCUGGACUGCGACUGACGUUGAGGCCCGAAAGCGUGGGGAGCAAACAGGAUUAGAUACCCCCGUA
RNAcentral lists this ribosomal RNA (446 nucleotides) under uncultured bacterium. RNAcentral describes it as "bacterial SSU rRNA". It matches the Rfam family "Bacterial small subunit ribosomal RNA", at positions 330 to 792 of the family's 1533-position model. The record is from RNAcentral.